Molecule: ribosomal RNA, 81 nt
Filed under: Gillisella vitis
Lineage: Bacteria; Pseudomonadati; Pseudomonadota; Alphaproteobacteria; Hyphomicrobiales; Rhizobiaceae
Description: Agrobacterium vitis partial 16S rRNA
Rfam family: Bacterial small subunit ribosomal RNA
Source: RNAcentral
CACGGUAGGGUCAGCGACUGGGGUGAAGUCGUAACAAGGUAGCCGUAGGGGAACCUGCGGCUGGAUCACCUCCUUUCUAAG